RNAcentral lists this ribosomal RNA (409 nucleotides) under Microbacterium sp. RNAcentral describes it as "bacterial SSU rRNA". It matches the Rfam family "Bacterial small subunit ribosomal RNA", at positions 1 to 410 of the family's 1533-position model. The record is from RNAcentral. Lineage: Bacteria; Bacillati; Actinomycetota; Actinomycetes; Micrococcales; Microbacteriaceae.
UUUACGGAGAGUUUGAUCCUGGCUCAGGAUGAACGCUGGCGGCGUGCUUAACACAUGCAAGUCGAACGGUGAAAGAGAGCUUGCUCUCUGGAUCAGUGGCGAACGGGUGAGUAACACGUGAGCAAUCUGCCCCUGACUCUGGGAUAAGCGCUGGAAACGGCGUCUAAUACCGGAUACGAGCUGCGAAGGCAUCUUCAGCAGCUGGAAAGAACUUCGGUCAGGGAUGAGCUCGCGGCCUAUCAGCUAGUUGGUGAGGUAACGGCUCACCAAGGCGUCGACGGGUAGCCGGCCUGAGAGGGUGACCGGCCACACUGGGACUGAGACACGGCCCAGACUCCUACGGGAGGCAGCAGUGGGGAAUAUUGCACAAUGGGCGAAAGCCUGAUGCAGCAACGCCGCGUGAGGGACG